UACGAAAGGGGCUAGCGUUGUUCGGAAUUACUGGGCGUAAAGCGCACGUAGGCGGCCUUGUAAGAUGGGGGUGAAAUCCCCGGGCUCAACCCGGGAACUGCCUUCAUGACUGCAAAGCUCGAGGAUGUGAGAGGUUGGCGGAAUUCCGAGUGUAGAGGUGAAAUUCGUAGAUAUUCGGAAGAACACCAGUGGCGAAGGCGGCCAACUGGCACAUUUCUGACGCUGAGGUGCGAAAGCGUGGGGAGCAAAC
This 250-nucleotide ribosomal RNA is filed under the name uncultured bacterium. RNAcentral's name for it is "partial 16S ribosomal RNA". It matches the Rfam family "Bacterial small subunit ribosomal RNA", at positions 524 to 773 of the family's 1533-position model. The record is from RNAcentral.